UACGUAGGGUGCGAGCGUUAAUCGGAAUUACUGGGCGUAAAGCGUGCGCAGGCGGUUCGUUGUGUCGGCGGUGAAAGCCCCGGGCUCAACCUGGGAAUGGCCGUUGAAACUGGCGAACUGGAGUGUGGCAGAGGGGGGGUGGAAUUCCGCGUGUAGCAGUGAAAUGCGUAGAGAUGCGGAGGGACACCGAUGGCGAAGGCAGCCCCCCUGGGCUGACACUGACGCUCAGGCACGAAAGCGUGGGGAGCAAACAGG
RNAcentral lists this ribosomal RNA (255 nucleotides) under uncultured bacterium. Its description in RNAcentral is "partial 16S ribosomal RNA". It matches the Rfam family "Bacterial small subunit ribosomal RNA", at positions 524 to 776 of the family's 1533-position model. The record is from RNAcentral.